This 134-nucleotide small nucleolar RNA is filed under the name Nannospalax galili (Upper Galilee mountains blind mole rat). RNAcentral's name for it is "Small nucleolar RNA SNORA15 (ENSNGAG00000009142.1)". It matches the Rfam family "Small nucleolar RNA SNORA15". From Rfam's summary of the family: ACA15 is a member of the H/ACA class of snoRNA that guide the sites of modification of uridines to pseudouridines. The record is from Rfam by way of RNAcentral. Lineage: Eukaryota; Metazoa; Chordata; Mammalia; Rodentia; Spalacidae.
GCAUGGCCGAAUACUGUGUUUUUUUAUCAGUAAUUUGCACAGCCAGACACCAUGCAAAAGUAAAGUCUUCCUUUUAAAUGACUGAUGAUAUACUAGUUGUUAUUGGUAUAUCAUUUUUUAAAGUGAGUACAAGU